GACGAACGCUGGCGGCGUGCUUAACACAUGCAAGUCGAACGGAAAGGCCCUGCUUUUGUGGGGUGCUCGAGUGGCGAACGGGUGAGUAACACGUGAGUAACCUGCCCUUGACUUUGGGAUAACUUCAGGAAACUGGGGCUAAUACCGGAUAGGAGCUCCUGCUGCAUGGUGGGGGUUGGAAAGUUUCGGCGGUUGGGGAUGGACUCGCGGCUUAUCAGCUUGUUGGUGGGGUAGUGGCUUACCAAGGCUUUGACGGGUAGCCGGCCUGAGAGGGUGACCGGCCACAUUGGGACUGAGAUACGGCCCAGACUCCUACGGGAGGCAGCAGUGGGGAAUAUUGCACAAUGGGCGGAAGCCUGAUGCAGCAACGCCGCGUGCGGGAUGACGGCCUUCGGGUUGUAAACCGCUUUCGCCUGUGACGAAGCGUGAGCGACGGUAAUGGGUAAAGAAGCACCGGCUUACUACGUG
This 468-nucleotide ribosomal RNA is filed under the name uncultured bacterium. RNAcentral describes it as "partial 16S ribosomal RNA". It matches the Rfam family "Bacterial small subunit ribosomal RNA", at positions 28 to 507 of the family's 1533-position model. The record is from RNAcentral.